UUUUUGCUUUCUGUUCUCGUCUUCCCCGCAUUUUCCGUCAAACAUGGGCCAUCUCGACCAGUGGCGUUCUCGCCAGAAGAUCGGCAUGGGCAAGGGUGCCCGCUGCUGCGUCAUCUGCUCCAACCAGAAGGCGCUGAUCCGCAAGUACGAGCUGAACGUGUGCCGUCAGUGCUUCCGUGAAAACGCCGAGCACAUCGGUUUCACCAAGCUGCGCUAAGCGCCUGGAUGGUGAGAGGGAAAGAGCCGAGUCUUCUUCUGCAAAGAUGAGGCGCAGUGGCUGUGGGAUGGUGAGGCCAGCAUGGGAGGAGAGAGCGGCCGGGCUAGUCUGUGCGCGCUGUAAAGGCAACAUGUGUGCGGAUACACCUGCUUCACGCUUGCACUGGCAUUCAUGUGUCCGGGUGCGUCUCUCCCUCCCUUUGCCUUUCCGCUUUCGGUGAGCGCCAUCUCGCCAUGGCGCUCAUCUUGAGUCAUCUACGCGAACAAGGGACGAGCUCACCACCUCCGCGAGUUCCUCUGCCAGUAUUUUCCUUUUUGUUACUGCCAUCGCCUUGUGUCUGUCCACGUGUGUGCGUGUGUAUAUGCGUACGCGUGUGUGCUCGGUGAUCAGCGAGACUAGACAUCAAAUGGAUAAACAGAUUUGUUGGCGCACCGGGGGUGGGGGCCAGGGAAGGUGCAAAGGCUGAGGGCGACUCCUCCUUUUUUCUCGGCACUCCCUCUCUCCUUUCCUCUGUGCCCGCUGUCCGUCUUCGAUCGCUUAUUCUACGUCACCUCUGACGGGACGGCCUGCGGCGCCCAUGCGUGGACGAUUUCAAAGGGCAGCAUCAUUUUCGGUAUUUUCCCUCCAAAAAGAAAAAAGAAGCGCGUCGUGCAGCGCAGCGGGCGUAGCAAGGCAACGCGCGAUUCACCCAGCAAAAUGUGGUAGGGAUUGGGAAUGCACCGGCAUUGUAGUCACUGACAACGAUGCUGUUUGACGUGCGCCACCUCUUCCACGUUCGAGAACCCUCGCCGCGUGUGCCGUUGUGUCACAGAUCUACAGACACGCUCAUGCCGCUCAUGGACAUGCGCACUCUCCCACAGGUGCUCUCCUCGUCGCAUUGCGCUGAUAGGGUGAGGGAAUGGGUGAGUUUGAGUGGGAGUGAAUCACGGACGCGCGACGCUGCUUGAAGUGGUGGGCCUGAGCGCUUUCAACGGUGGUGCACGCUUUUCAGCGAGUCGCAGUAUGCAACUCCGUGCAUGCGGUUGUCUGCUGUUGUUGUCAUCUGAUUUAACUACCUUUUUUUUCUCUUCCGCGACCUUUUCACUUCCUUUUGGCUGCAUGAACGUUUCACGACCUCGUCUCUCCCUCUCCUUCUCAUGGCUUCUCGUGCCCCACUUCCUUUGCCCACGGACGCUCACAACUGCUAUCAUUGCCAUGAAUUGCCGCUGCUGUCCGAGUGCAACUGCAG
Molecule: unclassified non-coding RNA, 1445 nt
Filed under: Leishmania donovani
Lineage: Eukaryota; Euglenozoa; Kinetoplastea; Trypanosomatida; Trypanosomatidae
Description: gene:LdHU3.28.3200(CDS-product:ribosomal_protein_ S29_putative)
Source: RNAcentral